Molecule: long non-coding RNA, 2039 nt
Organism: Peromyscus eremicus (cactus mouse)
Lineage: Eukaryota; Metazoa; Chordata; Mammalia; Rodentia; Cricetidae
Exons: 4
Source: RefSeq, a predicted model, not a curated record
CGUUUCAGUUGGUAAAUCUGCUUGCUUUUGAUUUUAACAUAAAUCUAGCCCAAACGUUUGGAAAGAGAAAAAUGCUUGAGAAAAGACCAUAUCCUCUUCAGAAGGAAUAGCAUAGAAUUGUAUAGUUCCUGACCAAACUUUGUGAAAAACAGAUGGGGCCUAUUGUGCCAUCAUGGAGCAUGAGGAUCAUCGGUUUUCAGAGAUCAGCAGUGCUAUGUGAUUUCCUGGAUUGGCCACAGAUGACUUUGUUCAUGUAGCUCAUUGACCCUUGCUUGGAAAGUCCUUCUCAGUUCUUCAUAAUCCGAGACAGCAGCUGACAUCAAUGUAAAAAGAGAAGCUAAAAACAGUUGAGUGUGUACGCCCUGAAUUGCAUAUUCAGUUGCAAAAUCAUCAUUAUUAUUGUAAUUACAGAGGGGAGGCAUUUCAAUAAUUGUUCAAAGUGUCUUCUUGAGGAAAUAAGUAAAUCAGGGCCAGCUGUCACAAGCCAAUCUACAAUAAUGAUCCCCGUAUGUGCAUCUUCGGGAUUCAUAACAAUCUACAAUAACAAAUUUGUGCAUUCGUCUACUGUCCCUGAACAGCCUAAAAAAUAACAAACCUAUGAUCUGCUCUGAUGUCUCGCUUGAUAGUUCAUUUGUAUUUUUAAACAGCAUCCUUGAAUAACCUUAGAGUCAUAAACUGCCAAACAAAAAUUGCAUCACCAAUUUAAUAACAAACAACGGUGGGUAGCCUGGCGUCCAUCCACCUGUGACAGGAUGGCCACAAACUGAGGUUUUGGAGCCAAGGGGAAGCCAGGUAGACAGAUCUGCAGACAACUAAAACUGUUCAGAAAGAAACAUCCACCAAGACAGACGUGCUUUAUUGGCUUAAAAAUUACAAACAGGAACUGUGAAGGCAUGUUUUCAGCUUCCUUGUGAAAUCAGCCCGAAGUAGUUCAGAUUUUGCUCCUCCCAAGAUACAGCUGUGAAAUGACUAAUAGAAAUUAAGUGACAUUGCACCAGGAACUAAAUGUGCCACUUCACUGAGAACAGAAACCGUCCCCUGAUAGAGGCCAUCCUCACGGAUUAAUGCCUAUAAGAGAUGGCACAGAGAAAGUGCUGAACUGGGCCACUCCAUAGGCAGAAAGAAAGAUUUAUUGAGGGAUCAAACUGCCAAGGCAGAGAGAAAAGCAAAAUGGUGGGGAAACAAGCAGAUUGUAUAUGAUAGUCAGCAGAAUGGGGAUCCGAGCUAACACAGGCUGUCAGGAUUGACCCGGAACUAGAUACCUUUGCCUGAAGUAGCUGACCUUUGGGAGAACGUUAAGGGGCAAAGUUCCUGGCACACAGAAACCUCCCUAAGAGAUCUGCUUUUCUAGUGAACACAUACCUUUAGGCUUGCUCACAAUCCUUCAGUUUACCCAAGCAAAGUCCUCCUUUUUAGGACAGUGUCACCAGCACUACCAUUUUAGAGGAAGGGGGCUUUGAACCUGACAAUACCCCGGAUGCUUUGAAGAGGACCAGCCAAGCACAAGCAUGGUACAUUUACAAAGAAUGAGAAUCAUCCAGUCGCCUCCUCAAAAUUUCCUCAUAUCCCAGUAGCUUUGAAUUGUGGUUAUAUCUCUAAUUUCAUAUUCUUGAAGAACCUCCAGAGACAGAGAAAGAAAGAGGAGAAAGAAAAUUUCUUAUCACAUUGCUUUUCUCUCGCUGGGCCACUUAGGCUUUCCGAAUCCAAGUCUUGCUGGAGGCUGGGCCUGAGCCAGGCGAGAAGGGUGAAUGACCUCAAGCUGCUUCAGGAACUUGCCAGCUGCUCUGCUGCAGCCUUCUUAGGUGCUAAGAAUCAUCUUCCUCAUCACAGUUGCUCAGUAUAUUUCCAUAUUUGCACUCCCAGCUAAAAGCAAUUUAGCCAGCAUGCAGCCUUAUCUCGCUUCAGUAGUCCGAACAUUUCCCACAACAGCAUCAGAAGGGGCAGUGAUGGACAUUUUGAAAGUUGUUUUGAGGUAAAAUUUGCAUAUUGUUAAUUGUAAAAGUAAGACAAUGAUGAAAAUAAAUGGAAAUUCCAAAAUG